Molecule: transfer RNA, 73 nt
Filed under: Vicugna pacos (alpaca)
Lineage: Eukaryota; Metazoa; Chordata; Mammalia; Artiodactyla; Camelidae
Description: tRNA-Ala (AGC) (tRNA-Ala-AGC-478-1)
Rfam family: tRNA
About the family: Transfer RNA (tRNA) molecules are approximately 80 nucleotides in length. Their secondary structure includes four short double-helical elements and three loops (D, anti-codon, and T loops).
Source: RNAcentral
GGAGGGUAUAGCUCAGUGGUAGAGUGCAUGCUUAGCAUGCAUGAGGUCCUGGGUUCAUUCCCCAGUACCUCCA